Molecule: long non-coding RNA, 561 nt
Organism: Nicotiana tabacum (common tobacco)
Lineage: Eukaryota; Viridiplantae; Streptophyta; Magnoliopsida; Solanales; Solanaceae
Source: RefSeq, a predicted model, not a curated record
AUUAUUUUCCCUCAAUAGGUUUUAGUAUUUCCCCCUCACAAAUUGAGACUCUCUCCAGAAUUUACUAAGUCUGGAAUUUUCCCAACUCCAUCCCUCAAUAGGUCUCUCGUUUCUCUUUCCCCCAAUUCCUUUCCCCGAUUCUUCCCUCAAUUCCCCCAAUUCGUUCUAUUUUCUAACUUCAGAUUCUUCUAUUUCUCCAGCUAGAAGAAUCGAGAUUCAAAUCAGAAAAAGUACAUGAAAUUCGUUUAGCAACUUCAAUAAUCUUCAGGUAGCCGAGGGAUCAAAAACUGCUGGUGAAGCUAUUGGAAUCGACGUCGACAAUUAGAUAUUUGAUAGGCAUCAGAUUUAGAAAGUGGUGCACCAUCAACAGUUGAGCCAAGAAGAUCUUUAUAUGAAAGUAACAAUGAUGAUCGUCCAAAUGUGAAUUAGUGAUUAUUUUGUAUGAUCAACUAUGAAUGUUUUGGAUAUUACUAUUGAAAUACACUUUGAAGCAUUAAUAUUUUGAUGAUGUAAUUUUGGAAUACUUGUGUUUUUUAUAUAUUGAAUAUUUUUCUUAUUUAA